GGCCCGGGAUAGCCCAGGGAAACCUGGAUUAAUACCGGAUGAGACGGGACCCGCGAUGGCGGGACCCGGGAAGGCGCUGCGGCGCCGCCGGGGGAUGAGUCUGCGUCCCAGUUAGCUAGACGGCGGGGUAACGGCCACCGUGGCGACGAUGGGUAGCCGGCCUGAGAGGGUGGACGGCCACAUUGGAACUGAGACACGGUCCAGACUCCUACGGGAGGCAGCAGCUAAGAAUCUUCCGCAAUGGGCGAAAGCCUGACGGAGCGACGCCCGCGUGAACGAAGAAGGCCGUGAGGUUGUAAAGUUCUUUUCGGGAGGGGGAACAACCGUGGCAGGGAAUGGCCGCGGGAUGACGUGAAUCCCGGAAUAAGCCCCGGCUAACUACGUGCCAGCAGCGGC
This 396-nucleotide ribosomal RNA is filed under the name uncultured bacterium. RNAcentral's name for it is "bacterial SSU rRNA". It matches the Rfam family "Bacterial small subunit ribosomal RNA", at positions 135 to 518 of the family's 1533-position model. The record is from RNAcentral.